Phoenix dactylifera (date palm) is the source of this 2309-nucleotide RNA transcript. It is a transcript of the gene named protein SHOU4-like, with no coding region annotated. The record is from RefSeq and is a predicted model, not a curated record. NCBI's taxonomy places the organism in Eukaryota, Viridiplantae, Streptophyta, Magnoliopsida, Arecales, Arecaceae.
GUGCGUGUUUUUUUUUUUUGUUUUGUUCCCCCUCUCUCUCUGCGCGCUUUUUGGAGCAUUUUUGGGAGACAGCGCAGUGGAGGAAGAAAGGUAGUGCUCUCUUUCUCUAUCUUCUCCGUGUGCGGCGAUGGCGACUAUGGCGGCUUCAGGCCAUUUCCUUCCCCCCGCUGGAUCUGCCGUUUCGCCCGGUUAUCCGGCGCUCCGUCCGUUGGAUUCUUGAGACUACCCUUGAGUGCUUCAUCAAGGAGCUGUUGUACUAGAGUAUCUUGAAGUCACCGCUGCAGAGUUUUGUGUUCUUCCAAUCAGGAUCAAGUGAAUUGUAUCAGCUAAGCUUGAUGGGUUCCAGAUUCCCAUCACAUCAGCUCAGCAAUGGCCUGUAUGUUUCAGGCCGGCCUGAGCAGCCGAAGGAGAAGCCCCCAACAAUGAGCUCUGUAGCCAUGCCAUACACUGGUGGAGAUAUUAAAAAAUCUGGUGAACUUGGAAAAAUGUUUGACAUUCCUGUGGAUAACUCAAAGUCAAGGAAAUCUGGUCCUAUUACAAAUGCUCCUUCAAGGGUUGGAUCAUUUGGAGGUGCUGCUCAUUCAGGGCCUGUCAUGCCUCACUCUGGUGGUCGGUCUAACUAUUCAUCUGGUCCAGUUUCAUGUGCAGGAAUUCCAGUUACUGGGACCUCAAGUAGACAGAAAUCCAGUUCUGGACCUCUUAACAGACACAGCGAUUCAGUCAAGAAAUCAUCUGGUCCUCAAUCUGGAGGAAUCGCACCAAUGGCUCGCCAAAAUUCUGGUCCCCUUCAUGCAGUGCUUCCAGCCACAGGACUCAUCACGUCUGGACCAAUAUCAGGGCCAUUAAAUUCAUCUGGUGCCCCCCGAAAAGUAUCUGGCCCUUUGGAUUCCACUGGGCCAGCCAAGCUACAUGGCACUUCCAUUGCACACAACCAAGCUGUCACUAAUCUCAGCCAAGAGGUUGACAAUUCUCUCAAGAGCAAUUUCCCCAAAACAAUAUUGUGGGCUAUGAUUCUUCUGUUUGUGAUGGGGUUCAUUGCUGGUGGAUUUAUUCUUGGAGCUGUUCACAAUGCUAUUCUUCUCAUUGUUGUUGUCGCUUUCUUUGGUGCUGCUGCUGCACUUUUCAUUUGGAAUACUUGUUGGGGAAGAAGUGCCAUGAUAGGGUUCAUUGCCCGCUAUCCUGAUGCUGAGCUAAGAACUGCAAAAGAUGGUCAAUAUGUCAAGGUCUCUGGGGUGGUUACCUGUGGAAACAUUCCCCUGGAGUCAUCCUUCCAAAAGGUGCCCAGAUGUGUGUACACAUCUACAAGUUUAUAUGAAUACAGGGGUUGGGACUCUAAGGCUGCCAAUCCCCAUCAUCGCUGUUUUACUUGGGGGCUUAGAUCAAUGGAGAGACAUGUGGUCGACUUUUACAUCUCUGAUUUUCAGUCAGGAUUACGAGCACUGGUCAAGACAGGCUAUGGUGCAAGAGUGACUCCAUACGUUGAUGAGUCCAUUGUUGUUGACAUUAAUCCAAACAACAAAGAUUUGUCUCCUCAUUUUAUAAGGUGGUUGGGGGAGAGGAACCUUUCAAGUGAUGAUCGUGUGAUGCGCUUGAAAGAAGGGUAAUUGGAGCCUUCUAAGAUAUUUUAAAUUUAGUAGCUCUGUCUGUUUCUUUUCUUUAUUCAGCGAAGACUCAAGCUUCCUGACUCCCUGUGCUACAAAACUUCUGGACAAGAUCUCUAAUAUCUGGGAGUCUUAUUCUGGAUAUGUUAAUAUAUUUUCUAGAAACCUACACUUCAAUCAUUAGUGGAGUUGGGGAGGCACACAUGAACACUGAGAGUUAUGGUAUAUCAAGGAGGGAAGCACUGUGAGCGUAAUGGGGGUUGUCCAAAGAAAUGACAAUGUCUUAAUGAUUGUUCCUCCAUCAGAGCCAAUAUCUACAGGAUGCCAGUGGGCCAAGUGUAUACUUCCUGCAAGCCUUGAAGGAGUAGUUUUGAGAUGUGAAGACACUUCAAAGAUCGAUGUCAUACCAGUAUAGCAAGUGCAAUGUUGGUUCGGUGGUGAUCCGGCGUAUGCCACUUCCAGGGUUUGUUGCCGUGGCAGCGACAAGUGCCUGAAAGACGGCAAUGAUUUAUGAUAUUAAGUUGGAGGUUGUUUUUCUUGGCUUCUAUUGUAUAGCUUUCUCUGGUUUUUCCUUCCUUUUUUUUUUAUUCAGUAGGCUCAAAAGCUUUUGUAACAAGGAUCUGUUGAUGUGUUUCAGAAAGUAGACAAUGUGACUUGGGCAUAUGCUAGAAAAUAUUUGAGCUAUUGUCUGAAAUCAGAUUUGGCCCA